Neofelis nebulosa (Clouded leopard) is the source of this 3407-nucleotide long non-coding RNA. RefSeq lists it as uncharacterized. The transcript has 6 exons. Lineage: Eukaryota; Metazoa; Chordata; Mammalia; Carnivora; Felidae. The record is from RefSeq and is a predicted model, not a curated record.
CGAUUCCCGGACUCUCGUCCGGAGCCGGGGGCGGGGUGGGGGGUGGCGAUGAGGUGCCAAGGGACCUCCGCCCGCUCCCGCGGCUAGCACCUGAAGGCCGCAGAGACCUGCCCUUUCCUCCCCAGCCUUUUUUCCCCCCGCGGGACUGAGGCCAUCCUGGCAGGCGGGUCCCGAACCGAGGUAGCUCUGCCUUGCCCUCCCUAACCUCACCCGUAUUUGGCUCCAGAGUUAGCCCUCAGCUUUUCUUCCUUUAAGCAACUCCCGCUGGCGGCAUCCUUUUCAAAUAUGAUGCGUGCUUUUCUUGAAGGCGACCUUCUCAAAGUUCUGAGAAUUUCUUGUUAGGGCGGUAUUGCAGACAGAUUAAAAAAAAAAAAAAAUCACAGUAAGAAAAGGGAACAGUCAGUGUGGACAUAGUAAUACCUGGGAGGAUGUUCACACCACUGCCUAACCAGAACGCCUGUAGAUGUUUCCAGUCUCAUGAAUUAACCAAAAAAGUCCCGAUCCUGGAAUCAUCCCACGAAUACUGUGAUGUGCUGGGACUAUUCUCUGGGUUGCCAAUGGCUGAGAAUUGAAACCAUGUCAAGAACUUUGCCCAUUUCCCAUACCUCAAAAACAAACAGAAAAGAAAGGAGAAAGAAAAAAAAAAAGACCUUUUUGUCUUUGUUCAUAAUUGCAACAAACGUUUCUCAACGAUUGAACUAUCCUUGAUGAGACAAGUAGUAUUAUAGAGAAAAACGUUAAAUUGGACUUCAGCUGUACCCCUUAUUGGUGAAGUGCUUGUGCAAGAAAUCUCUUUUCCUCUUGACUUAAGAAUGGGGGACCCUAUGUAAACUUCCCCAGUGGGAACUUCUGUUUCUCCAUACCCGUUAACUGGCUUGUCAACGAUUCUGUUUUGAGAACACAAUUUUAUGUACAUCCAGAGAAUUGGACCCACCAACCCAGCAGUUUUCAAACUGCUUUGAACCUAGGAACUGGAGAGACUGGAGGAUCUCUUUCCCAGUUAACAUUUGGGUGUGGAGAAUCCUAGGGACUAUGGAGAAGGAAGAGUGUGGAUCAUCACUGGCCUUGAAUUUUAAAACAUUCAAAACAUUUUUUGUGCAGGCAUUAAUAACAGACUUGAUGAGAGAUAUCUAGCAACCGAGGACCUCAGAGUGAAAGAGUGAGGAAUCUGACAACCUUUGGAAAGGCAUGUCUUAAUUUUCCAUGAAGAUGGCAACAUGCAAAUAGGCAGUAGCCAGCUAAACUGCCCCUCUCCUACCUUGUGAAGCCUUUCAGAGGACCCUGGAGGAACAGAUUGUCAUUUUGUCUUCAGACUCGUUCACCAUCUAACCUCUCUAUUUAGACUGCCAAAUGAUGUCAAAGACAUCCUGUCAAAAGCCAAGAACUAUGAACACACAUUAAAUCUGAUGAAGUGAGAAGACUCCCAUUUUGAUAAUCCUUUUAUCUUCACUCUCCAACUAAAGUUAAGGAAGAAAGAACUAUUGACAUUCAAUAAAGAAUGAUGGGAACCCCUGCUUUCACUUGCUCUGACCCCACAUAGGAAGAGAAUUGGAACCCAGAAUAAGACUGCAAUCUAUCUAGAGAUCUUCUUUGGAAGAGGGGAUACAUGGGAAAAAGGAGUCUCAAAGAAAUGGUCUGUGGAGAAUUUCUGUCUUGAGAAGAUUUCCACAGGGAGCAGGGCUGAUAUUACUGGCUCAGCGCCUCAUGGUGAGUUACAGUUAUAAUGGGGACAGCAGGCUUCUAUAACUCUGUUUAAUAGAAAGCAGGGUACCAGCAGAGAUUUUCUAACUCUGCAUUUAAAAUCCCCCCAAUAGCUAUUAUUACUUCUUAAAACCAUUUGAGCAUUAGUGGCAAAUCAAGUGGAAUAGUUUCAUUUAAAUAAUUUAAGGGGCUGACUGAUAUGCUCACAUUGACCAUAAUAAAUAAUAUUAUUAAUUUCAAGAGAGAGAGAAGGAUCAGAAUAUUGUGAUUUUGGUUUUCUUUCAACUGAAAAGUAUUUUGAAAAGGAUUAAAGGAACAGAUUUUCCUCCUCUGAGUUUGACUCCCUGUGUAUCCCACCUCUGGUCCUUUCAUAGAAACCCCCACCCAUUGUGUUUAGCCCCAUUUACCUGCCCCUGCAGGGAGGCGUCCUGUGGAGGGAAGUUUUAGUCUUCUGUGGAACAAGCUUAUUGAUCAGCAGGGUUUGCUCACUCAAGUGUAAGGACAUUCUGAUUCUUUUCCCUUGGGUUUUCUUUUCCUUCCUAAGAAAAUUCUAUGAAGAAUUCUUUCACCCCUCUUAUUGUGUUUCCAGUCAAUCUUCCAUUUGAUAUGAUAUGAAAAAAAAUAAGCAAAAAAAAAAAAAAAAAACACAUCUUAAGACUUAUCUCCAAGUAAAAAACUGUCUACCUACAGUAGCUACUCUCCUUUGUUUACAUUAUCUGUAUUUUCUCUGUGUAUCAUCCCAGGUAGUCAUCAUAACUCCAUUUUUAAGACUGAAAUAUUGAGUAUUUUUUUAAUCGCUUCUGUGCUGCCAAUAAAUAUUUAAAUACCACUAUGUUUCUCAAUAUUCCGAUCAUAAAAAUUAUUUGAAAGUACACAUUUCUAAUUUUCUCCUUGAAAUUUGGAUUUAGGAUAUCUAGGGUAGGGCUUGGAAUCAGUAAUUGUAGUAUUUCCAGGUGAUUUAAGUAUUGGAAAUACUGAAUUAUCUCCUAAAUUUGACAAUUUAAAGACAAUUGCAUCUCUUGAUGUUCCAAAAUGAAUAUCAGCAUUAGUUAUUUCAUUUCUUCUUCCUACUAUUUUGGGCUUCAUAUUUCCUGAAACUACUGCUGUCAUUUCCAUUGAAUCCUUUCAUUUUAGAACUGAAGUUGCCUCUGCUCAGCUCUAGUCUUCUUUGAGGUGAAAUUUGAGGGUCUUUGGUCACUUGUGAUAGACUAGAGGAGAGGAGAAAAAGCUAAAAGGAAAAUUACUAUGAUAUGGCUGAUCUAGCUCUAAGGAUGAGGACCAACCAGGAAGUAACACGCUUUGAUAAAUGUGUAAUGAAAAAUUUACUUGCAGAGGAAACAAGGCUGGAGAUGGCUGGGAGCCAAGAACAUCUGUGUUCCUGGUAUCCCAAAUGUGUGGAAGUAGCAGAUGUAACUGAAUAUAUAAUAGAAACCCUGGCGCAAUUCCUAAUAAAGUGGAAGAGACCUCUGGAUAUUACAGAAAGCUUUCCAAAACCUCCCAAAAUGAAAAAUACUGGGGAACUCCUAAGUAAUAUUAUUAACUAUCUUUAGGAGAGAUAUUAUUAAAGUGGCUCAAAACAAUGAAUAUGGCUUAUUUACAUAAGACAAAGGGAAGUUACCCACUGAACACAACUGAUAACACAACUCAGGAAAUAUAUUGUGUGUAAAUAUAAUAAUGAAAUUAUGUUUAGCAUACAUAUAGGAGGU